UUUGCGCAAAUAGUUAUUUUCUUGCUUCGUUAACCAUGUUAACCUAAUCUGUUAAAUUUGUGGUGCAAUCUUAUAGUAAAACCCCGGUGAUUUAGGUUGAUCAAUCAUCAUUCUUUAUGUUAAAGUCACAUUUUCAAAUGCCAUCAAUGUCUCACACGCAGUCUUUUUUUCUUUUCAAGCAAAGAUAGAACUGUAUCACAACUGGUAAAGGCAUGGAUCACAAUAAGUUUGUGUGAUCACUCAUUGCUUAGUGCAUUUGAAAGGUCAUUGAUAGAUAUUAAUUCAAAGUUUUUUGCUCUCCCAAACACAAUCCAUAGUUCGUCUACCCCUAUGUCACGG
Molecule: long non-coding RNA, 339 nt
Filed under: Mytilus galloprovincialis (Mediterranean mussel)
Lineage: Eukaryota; Metazoa; Mollusca; Bivalvia; Mytilida; Mytilidae
Source: RNAcentral